Molecule: unclassified non-coding RNA, 200 nt
Filed under: Coniophora sp.
Lineage: Eukaryota; Fungi; Basidiomycota; Agaricomycetes; Boletales; Coniophoraceae
Description: partial internal transcribed spacer 2
Source: RNAcentral
UUAAGUUCAGCGGGUAGUCCUACCUGAUUUGAGGUCGAAUUGUCAAGUGGGGUUUUUUCCAAAUCAAUGGAAAAGGUUGGGCAUAGGCAUUAAAGCAAUCCAGCCACGGCGAUCAUUAUCACACCGAAAGGCCAAUUCAUGCACACGCCUUUGCCAAUGCAUUUCAGAGGAGCCGACUUGUGCAGCCGGCAGCGCCUCCA